This 429-nucleotide ribosomal RNA is filed under the name Fusobacteriota bacterium. RNAcentral's name for it is "Fusobacteria bacterium partial 16S ribosomal RNA". It matches the Rfam family "Bacterial small subunit ribosomal RNA", at positions 355 to 776 of the family's 1533-position model. Lineage: Bacteria; Fusobacteriati; Fusobacteriota. The record is from RNAcentral.
UGGGGAAUAUUGCACAAUGGGCGCAAGCCUGAUGCAGCCAUGCCGCGUGUAUGUAGAAGGCCUUCGGGUUGUAAAGUACUUUCAGCGGGGAGGAAGGGAGUAAAGUUAAUACCUUUGCUCAUUGACGUUACCCGCAGAAGAAGCACCGGCUAACUCCGUGCCAGCUGCCGCGGUAAUACGGAGGGUGCAAGCGUUAAUCGGAAUUACUUGGCGUAAAGCGCACGCAGGCGGUUUGUUAAGUCAGAUGUGAAAUCCCCGGGCUCAACCUGGGAACUGCAUCUGAUACUGGCAAGCUUGAGUCUCGUAGAGGGGGGUAGUAGUCCAGGUGUAGCGGUGAAAUGCGUAGAGAUCUGGAGGAAUACCGGUGGCGAAGGCGGACCCCUGGACGAAGACUGACGAUCAGGUGCGAAAGCGUGGGGAGCAAACAGG